This 973-nucleotide unclassified non-coding RNA is filed under the name Hevea brasiliensis (rubber tree). Lineage: Eukaryota; Viridiplantae; Streptophyta; Magnoliopsida; Malpighiales; Euphorbiaceae. The record is from RNAcentral.
GGGACUUGCAAUUGCUGGCUGGAAAUAUCAGAGUAAGGGAUCAACAACUUUAUGAAAACAAUAUUUAAAACUAAAGGCACAUGAAAAUCAAUUUUGAUUCUGGCAUCAUAGGCAAAAUCUAAUUCAUCUAAGUCCAACAAUGAAUAAACCAAGCAAUGAAAUCAUUCUUAUCACGUUGAACAAGCUCUUUUUCUUAAAAAGUAUCUUUCCCCUUGGAAGGAUUGCAAUUCCUGCAUUAGGAAGUAACCCCAAGGUAUAAUAGCUUAGGCUGCAUAAAAAGGAAAUUAAGACUGAUCUGUAAUGUUGAUGAUGUGAAUGUGAUAACCAUAAAAGCCCCAAAAUCAGAAAGCAAAGAAGCAAUAUAACCAGCAAUCUAUACAAAUAAAUUCUUUUUAUAGCAACAUUACCCAUAAUUGUUAAAAUUGCUUAAAACUCCUAACAUAGAACCAAUAGUGAUGAAUUCAGUAAAUGUAUUUAGGAAAAAUGCAGACCACCUGAACCCAAAGAAGAAACUUUCAACUGAAAAUGAAACUGCCAAAUCAAAAAAUAGGUAUAACAAAUCUGCUCAUGGACCACAAGCACCAGAGCUGGUAAUUGUAUAGAAAACAAUUAAAUGUGGUUUUUGAACUGCAAGUAUGAGAGUUAGAAAGCCAACAAGAAUGUCUAAUAGUAAGCACUCAGAACAUAAGACUGUUUCGGCUUUGACAGUUAAUCAACUAAAAAACUUAAUAAUAAACCAAAAAAAAGGAAGAGUAGACGAAGAUCAACGCAGACCAACAAGAGCAAAAAGCAAGGAAGCAAAACCACAACAAUCAAGCAAGUAGAAUCCCAUACAAACACUCACACAGAAGAGCAAUUAAAAUUGGAACAGACAAAAAAUUAAUUACAAAAAAUCUCGAAAAAAAUUCAAGAAAUCCUAAACCCUUUCAACCCUCAAAAUUCCUACUCACCAAACCCCUUCGACGAAGUAAAU